Molecule: long non-coding RNA, 1309 nt
Organism: Leptopilina boulardi
Lineage: Eukaryota; Metazoa; Arthropoda; Insecta; Hymenoptera; Figitidae
Exons: 3
Source: RefSeq, a predicted model, not a curated record
CUCUUUCAGCUUCUUCAAAAAAAUUCCAUGUAACUAAAACAAUAGGAUUUCUAUCUUCAGCAAAUGAAAAUGAUAUGAUAAAUAUCAAUUGAAGGACCAAUAUUUUUAAAACUGAAAAUUCCAUUCUUGAAGCUGAUCUCUAAAAAAUAUUAUAAAUAGAUUACAUUCAUCUGAAAUAAUAUUGAAUGUUAAAGGAAUUAAUUAUCUGUAAACUUUCUUUUUCAAGUUUUGAAUGAUCUCGUUGAUGCUGCGCAGUUGAAGAAAUCGAAAUCUCGGAUUUUUCAGAUGAUGUCAUUGCGACCUAAUUUUUUUAAAAAAAAUUUAUACUUUCAGAAAUGAUUCUAUAUAAAUUUAUUUCGAAGCUGAUUGUUAAAAUAAUAUUAUUAAUUAUACUUUUUGAAAGAUGAAAUAUCAAUUUUCAAGAAUAAAAUCUGCAAAAUUUUAUUUAUUUAUACAAUUUGCAUUGUAUAAAAUUUUUUUGUUAUAUCACUUCUACAGAAUUUUUUAAAAAUGAUUUGAUUUUAAUGUAACAUUUUCAAAAAAAUUUAAUAAAUGUUAAAAAUUUUAAAGCAAUAAAAAGGCGCGUGUAAAAAAUUGAAUCCUUGAAAAAAUAUCGAUUAGUCGAACAAUAAUAAAAAAUUAUCAUUUAACAACUCUGAAUAUAAAAAAAAAUUAUAAAAUUUAGUUUAAUAAACGGGAGUCAUGAAAAAGCUCUAAAACAAAUUUUUUGAGCCACAUGGCUAAUUUUUUUGAAAUUAUUUUUGAAUCGAAUUUUAUUCUGUAGAUUAUUAUAUUUGCAGAAUAGUAAUUUAAUAAAUGCAUCUUCAAUUAGCAGAAUAUUAAUUUGGUCGAAUUUUCAUUUUAUAGAAUAAAUUUUUAAAUAAUUAUCAAUGUUGCCGAAUUUUUAUUUAGACGAAAAUUAAUUAACCAGAAAUUCAAUUUGAUCGAAUCCUCAAUUUGUGCGAAACCAAAUAAAUUUAUCUAUAAAAUUAAUAUUCGAACAAAUAAAUAUUCUGCAAAAGUAAUAUUCUACAGAAUAAGAUUUUAUAUUACAUCAUAUGAUUCUAAAUAAAUUUGUUUUGGUGCUUUUUUUUAUUUAUAAAAGUAAAUUUCUAAUUUUUGUUUAUAAAUAUAAAAAAAAAUUAUUUAGAAUUAAUUUUAAUUUUUCAUUGCGACUAUAAUUCAUUAAUUAUCUCAAAAAAUUAUAAAUAUGAACCUCGACAAUUGUAUGUACAAUUUGUAUUUAGUGCCUUUAUUCUAUAAAUAUUUUCAAAUUAUUAAAUUGUUAUAAAUAUUACAAUUAAUAAGG